Non-coding RNA from Cinara cedri, 488 nucleotides. The record is from the annotation of a GenBank genome assembly. NCBI's taxonomy places the organism in Eukaryota, Metazoa, Arthropoda, Insecta, Hemiptera, Aphididae.
AAUUUAUUCUUCAUAUUUCAUAUGUAUAAAAACCCACUCAUUAAAUAUUAACUAAAUUUUUUUUUUACCACCUAUUGGGCUUAGUGCGUAUUAUUAGCGACUGCGGUAUAAACGUAGUGUAUUAUACGACUCUUUCUUGGCUCUUUUUAAAUUACCCAUUAUAAUAUUAUUUCGCGUCGUGUUACAUGAACCAUAAAACAAAAUCAAUAAGAACUCGUUAUAAAGACAAUAUAGUAUACAAUGGAGGAAUAUAUAAUUACACCGCAACAGAAUAUUAAUUAUAAUGAUUAUUAAAUAGUGUCACUAUAUUUUCUGUUUUUACUCAGCGAUAAUAAAUGGACUUGUGGUGUACUCCCGACCACAAAUAUAUCGUCGUGCACACAUUUUUAUUAUUAUGACUGAUUUCCUUGUACCGCAAUCAAGUAAUAUUUUAAUAUUAUGUUCCUAUAUUUCAUAUUGUAUUAAACGAUUUUUUUUUUUCUAAAGAC